GAUGAACGCUGGCGGCGUGCCUAAUACAUGCCAGUCGAGCGAACAGAUGAGGAGCUUGCUCCUCUGACGUUAGCGGCGGACGGGUGAGUAACACGUGGAUAACCUACCUAUAAGACUGGGAUAACUUCGGGAAACCGGAGCUAAUACCGGAUAAUAUAUUGAACCGCAUGGUUCAAUAGUGAAAGACGGUUUUGCUGUCACUUAUAGAUGGAUCCGCGCCGCAUUAGCUAGUUGGUAAGGUAACGGCUUACCAAGGCAACGAUGCGUAGCCGACCUGAGAGGGGGAUCGGCCACACUGGAACUGAGACACGGUCCAGACUCCUACGGGAGGCAGCAGUAGGGAAUCUUCCGCAAGGGGCGAAAGCCUGACGGAGCAACGCCGCGGGAGUGAUGAAGGUCUUCGGAUCGUAAAACUCUGUUAUUAGGGAAGAACAAAUGUGUAAGUAACUAUGCACGUCUGGACGGUACCUAAUCAGAAAGCCACGGCUAACUACGU
This 496-nucleotide ribosomal RNA is filed under the name uncultured bacterium. RNAcentral's name for it is "partial 16S ribosomal RNA". It matches the Rfam family "Bacterial small subunit ribosomal RNA", at positions 28 to 506 of the family's 1533-position model. The record is from RNAcentral.